Molecule: ribosomal RNA, 465 nt
Filed under: uncultured bacterium
Lineage: Bacteria
Description: partial 16S ribosomal RNA
Rfam family: Bacterial small subunit ribosomal RNA
Source: RNAcentral
CCUACGGGAGGCAGCAGUGGGGAAUAUUGCACAAUGGGCGCAAGCCUGAUGCAGCCAUGCCGCGUGUAUGAAGAAGGCCUUCGGGUUGUAAAGUACUUUCAGCGGGGAGGAAGGUAGUAAAGUUGAUACCUUUGCUCAUUGACGGUACCCGCAGAAGAAGCAACGGCUAACUCCGUGCCAGCAGCCGCGGUAAUACGGAGGGUGCAAGCGUUAAUCGGAAUUAUUGGGCGUAAAGCGCACGCAGGCGGGUUGUUAAGUCAGAUGUGAAAUCCCCGGGCUCAACCUGGGAACUGCAUCUGAUACUGGCAAGCUAGAGUCUGGUAGAGGGAAGUGGAAUGCCAGGUGUAGCGGUGAAAUGCGUAGAGAUCUGGAAGAAUACCGGUGGCGAAGGCGGCCUACUGGACGAAGACUGACGCUCAGGUGCGAAAGCGUGGGGAGCAAACAGGAUUAGAUACCCUAGUAGUC